Molecule: ribosomal RNA, 200 nt
Filed under: uncultured bacterium
Lineage: Bacteria
Description: partial 16S ribosomal RNA
Rfam family: Bacterial small subunit ribosomal RNA
Source: RNAcentral
AGUGAACGCUGGCGGCAGGCCUAACACAUGCAAGUCGAGCGGCAGCGCGGGUAGCAAUACCUGGCGGCGAGUGGCGGACGGGUGAGGAAUGCAUCGGAAUCUGCCCCGACGUGGGGGAUAACGUAGGGAAACUUACGCUAAUACCGCAUACGUCUUGCGGGAGAAAGCGGGGAUCGAAAGACCUCGCGCGGCGGGAUGAG